RNAcentral lists this ribosomal RNA (200 nucleotides) under uncultured bacterium. RNAcentral's name for it is "partial 16S ribosomal RNA". It matches the Rfam family "Bacterial small subunit ribosomal RNA", at positions 30 to 230 of the family's 1533-position model. The record is from RNAcentral.
AUUGAACGCUGGCGGCAGGCCUAACACAUGCAAGUCGAGCGGUAGAGAGAAGCUUGCUUCUCUUGAGAGCGGCGGACGGGUGAGUAAUGCCUAGGAAUCUGCCUGGUAGUGGGGGAUAACGUUCGGAAACGAACGCUAAUACCGCAUACGUCCUACGGGAGAAAGCAGGGGACCUUCGGGCCUUGCGCUAUCAGAUGAGC